AGAGUUUGAUCAUGGCUCAGAACGAACGCUGGCGGCAGGCCUAACACAUGCAAGUCGAACGCGCGUAGCAAUACGCGAGUGGCGCACGGGUGAGUAAUACGUGGGAAUCAACCCUGAGGUUCGGAAUAACCGCGGGAAACUGCGGCUAAUACCGGAUGUCCCCUACGGGGGAAAGAUUUAUCGCCUUGGGACGAGCCCACGUCCGAUUAGCUAGUUGGUGAGGUAAUGGCUCACCAAGGCUACGAUCGGUAGCUGGUCUGAGAGGACGACCAGCCACACUGGAACUGAGACACGGUCCAGACUCCUACGGGAGGCAGCAGUGGGGAAUAUUGGGCAAUGGAGGCAACUCUGACCCAGCCAUGCCGCGUGGGUGACGAAGGUCUUCGGAUUGUAAAGCCCUUUCGGCGGGGACGAUGAUGACGGUACCCGCAGAAGAAGCCCCGGCUAACUUCGUGCCAGCAGCCGCGGUAAUACGAAGGGGGCUAGCGUUGUUCGGAAUUACUGGGCGUAAAGGGCGUGUAGGCGGCCCGUUAAGACAGGUGUGAAAUUCCUGGGCUCAACCCAGGACGUGCGCCUGUGACUGGCGGUGAGUCCGGGAGAGGAUGGUGGAACUCCCAGUGUAGAGGUGAAAUUCGUAGAUAUUGGGAAGAACACCCGUGGCGAAGGCGGCCAUCUGGACCGGUACUGACGCUAAGGCGCGACAGCGUGGGGAGCAAACAGGAUUAGAUACCCUAGUAGUCC
RNAcentral lists this ribosomal RNA (741 nucleotides) under uncultured bacterium. RNAcentral's name for it is "bacterial SSU rRNA". It matches the Rfam family "Bacterial small subunit ribosomal RNA", at positions 8 to 796 of the family's 1533-position model. The record is from RNAcentral.